Molecule: ribosomal RNA, 250 nt
Filed under: Thraustochytriidae sp.
Lineage: Eukaryota; Bigyra; Thraustochytrida; Thraustochytriidae
Description: Thraustochytriaceae sp. partial small subunit ribosomal RNA
Rfam family: Eukaryotic small subunit ribosomal RNA
Source: RNAcentral
GUGGUGCAUGGCCGUUCUUAGUUGGUGGAGCGAUUUGUCUGGUUAAUUCCGUUAACGAACGAGACCACAGCCUACUAAAUAGAGCGCAUUAUGGUAACAUAGUGUGAUACUUCUUAGAGGGACAUUUCGGGUAUACCGGAAGGAAGUUUGUGGCAAUAACAGGUCUGUGAUGCCCUUAGAUGUUCUGGGCCGCACGAGCGCUACACUGAUGACUUCAACGAGUUUUUAUUUUUUGAAUAAAGUCCUUCAC